CAGCCGCCUCGGUAAUACGAAGGGGGCUAGCGUUGCUCGGAAUCACUGGGCGUAAAGGGUGCGUAGGCGGGUCUUUAAGUCAGGGGUGAAAUCCUGGAGCUCAACUCCAGAACUGCCUUUGAUACUGAAGAUCUUGAGUUCGGGAGAGGUGAGUGGAGCUGCGAGUGUAGAGGUGAAAUUCGUAGAUAUUCGCAAGAACACCAGUGGCGAAGGCGGCUCACUGGCCCGAUACUGACGCUGAGGCACGAAAGCGUGGGGAGCAAACAGGAUUAGAUACCCCAGUAGUCCCUGUCUCUUAUAC
RNAcentral lists this ribosomal RNA (301 nucleotides) under uncultured bacterium. RNAcentral describes it as "partial 16S ribosomal RNA". It matches the Rfam family "Bacterial small subunit ribosomal RNA", at positions 509 to 807 of the family's 1533-position model. The record is from RNAcentral.